GCAAUUCUCCUGCCUCAGCCUCCUGAGUAGCUGGGACCACAGAUCCUUUACCUGGGCUCCAGACUUCGACUACACAAAGGCAGAGCAGGGAUAUAUGGAGAUUAUAAAUGCUCGCUGGAUGAUACCAGGAGACUGUGAAGUGGUGAGAUGGUGAAGCCACAAGUUUAAAGCAGUGUGAUUCCUCAGUCACCUCUUUGAAGUGAACAACUUAAAUCUCAUCAGACUGGGAUGUGAGCAAGAAUAAGUCUUGAUUCUAUCAAGCCAUUAAGAUCUUGAAGUUGUUUGUUUACUUCUGAAAUAUGUUUAAGGAUUUUAGUUGGCAGUAAAUUUACAUGGAUCAACUAGAAAGAUGCUUUCUAUCCUUGACUUCUCAGCAAUAUUUAACUACAAGCCCCCUUUCCUAAUAGAAACAUUCAAUUCCUUUUGCUUCUGUGGCCCAGCAUCCUCCAGGUUUUCCUCCUGUCCUGCUAGCUGCUCCUUUCUCUGCCUUUCUUUGUGUCCUCUUCCAAAGGACUAUUAAUUGUUGAGUUUCUUUUGGUUCAGUCUUCUGGCCUUUCCUCUUUUCAUUUUUUUUUUCAUGUGAUUUGGAUUACCAUCUAUAUGCGAGAAGACUCGGAAAUUUAUAUCACUACCUUAAAUGUUCUUCUGCACUCCACACACAUAAUCCAACUUCCUAAUUGAUAUUUUCUCAUGGACUUUUCAAUGACUCUUCAUACAAACCUGCACUCAGAAUUUUUCUUUCCAAAUCUGGCCCUCUUCAAUGUUUCCCACCUCAGGGAAUGGCACACCACCUAUCCAGUCACAUGAGACAGAAACCAAAAGUCCAGCAAUCCUUCCUCACCCCUGUCCACUCUUCUCCCACCUUAGCUGAUCCAUUACCAAGUCUUAUCAAUUUCCCUCCUAAAUAUUUAUCAAAUGCAUUCUCUCCCUGCUGGCUCCACCAACGAUCCUGCCAUUAUCUCUUACCCAAGCUCCUGCAAUAGCCUUUUUACUAAUCUGUGUGCAUAUGCUCUGGUGUCUCUUCAAUCCUGAUCCACUCUUCAUAGUAAUAUUUAAAAAUUAAAAACUUGUCUCUUUCCUAUUUAAAGUUCCUCAAUAGUUUUUCCAUUUGUUGUGUUAGGCUAAUGAUAAAACAUGAUUUUGACGAUCCUGCACAUUCUGGCGCCUUCUACCUCUCUGGCUCACCUCACCUCCUGCAGACUCCAUGGUUCUUUGCUCCAUUCAUACUGGACUUCCUUCCAUCCCUCAAACUUUCAUCAGGUUUUCUCCUGUGACUCCCACUGCACAUGUCCUGACACACUUCUUUCUCUUCUUAACCUAUCAAGUCUACCUUUCCUUCAGCUUCUGCUCAAGAAAGAAGCCAUUUUGAUCUCCUGAUUAGUUCAAAUCUUCCUAUAACAGGUUUUCAUAAGACUGUAUACUUUUUAUUAGGACUUGUCAUGGGUGCAAUUUUACAUCUAUUUGUGUGAUUACUUGAUACCUCUCAGUAUCCUCCACUAAACAAUAAGCUCUAAGGAAGUAGGGACAUGUUGUCUUUUGUUCGUUUUUAUCUCCAGCCUCUAAUACAGUGCCGGACAUAGAUGAGGCUCUUUCAGUGAGUAUUUGCCAAAGGAAGAAUGGUAGGAAGAUGGGAAAGAAGGGAGGAAAUAAAAUAGAAGAAGAUGAGUCCAUAUCUUCUCUAUAUUUGCCAAUUUGCACCUGGAGCAUUGGAUUAAGUUCUGGGUGCCAUAUUUUGAGAUAAAAACAAGCUGGAAUAUAUUCAGAAGAAAGGAAUCAGAAAGAUCAGGAGAGGCAAAGUUGGGAUUGAUGCAUCAAAUAGGUAAUUGGAUGCUUUUUUCAAUUUCUUCCAACCAAAAGUUUCUA
This 1863-nucleotide long non-coding RNA is filed under the name Homo sapiens (human). RNAcentral describes it as "HSALNT0335855". The record is from RNAcentral. Lineage: Eukaryota; Metazoa; Chordata; Mammalia; Primates; Hominidae.